GGCGCUGAUAGCUGGACCGCGCCUCAACCGAGCUUGGUCCUUCCCUUUAGUCCCGCCCCACUGCUCCGCGCGGAUUGGCGGCGGGAAGCAGCUCUGGCGCUGAUUGGGCGGCGGUGGAGUCGCUCGUGGAGACGGUAAGUUCGGGUGCCCCAGAGUGCUAAAUUUAUCUUCAGACAAGCGACCGCGCCAGCCGCGAAUCGGAUGGCUAUGGAGGUGGCAUAGGCGAUAUCCCUGAGCCGAGAGCAUCACCCUGUCCCCGAAUCCUUCUUUCCUCUGUUUUGUUUUUCAUUUACCCCCUUCCUUUCUCCCUUCUCCCCCCCUCCAGUCCGCGACGACUGGCUCUUGACCCUGUUCAGGCCUCGGUGAAGGCUUUUGGUUACUCCCCUUCCACCCUAUCCCUUAAUUUAAUUUUUUCGAAGAAUCUACAUUUCAAGCUGCCAAGGUGGAGAGUGUGACUACAGAAGGGACUGCUUCUCAUUUCAGGUAUCUUACUCUCUAGCUGUUACUAGGAAAACCAUUUUGAUUCAGGAUCUAAUAUGAGAACCCAGUGCUUACUCUGUAGCCAAAUCAUAAAGUUUAAAUCAAAAGUAGCUUUAUUUAGAUAGAUACUAAAUUUGAAUGCCUUAACUUAUAAGCCAGUACUCUUCAGCGGUCCUAAAAUUUGCAUUACCGUUCCAUUUAAUUAUGCUUUUUAAAAGCUGUUAUAUGAAGAAUAUACCUAUUAAAAUGAGAGUUUAUGUUUUCUUUAGGUCUUUGUUAAGCCUUCAGUAAAGAAUAAUAGGGUGCAGAGUAAUCAGUAAAAUCUAUACAUUACUUUGAAUAGGUCUUAUUUUGGAUAAUGUAAAUAUUUAUGUCAUUUUAAGUCCAGAGAAAUAGUAACUAACUUUUGGUUUAUAGUUUACUUUUCAAUGUUAACACAGUAUUUAGGAUGCAGCAGGAUUCUGUGUUUUGCAAAACUUUGAACUAUGUGUGUUUUUGACAUAGCUCUUCAGAAUAGUUGCUAGCCCUGAAAGGAGCCUUCAGAUGUAUAAUAGUGUCAGCAAUUAAUGUGUCUAAUGGCAGUAGGCACCAGAAAGCUAAAAGAGAUUCCAGGAUACUGUGUCCAUGAAAGGGGUUGGUAAAUUAUGGCCCCAUCCUGUUUUUAUAAAUAGAGAUUAGUUAGAAUACAGCUGGGCCCGUUCUUUAAGGUAUUGUCUAUGGCUGCUGCCGUGCCACAAGUACAAACUU
RNAcentral lists this long non-coding RNA (1227 nucleotides) under Camelus dromedarius (Arabian camel). Its description in RNAcentral is "lncRNA (ENSCDRG00005019535.1)". The record is from RNAcentral. Lineage: Eukaryota; Metazoa; Chordata; Mammalia; Artiodactyla; Camelidae.